Molecule: long non-coding RNA, 469 nt
Filed under: Elaeis guineensis (African oil palm)
Lineage: Eukaryota; Viridiplantae; Streptophyta; Magnoliopsida; Arecales; Arecaceae
Description: long non-coding RNA (EGUI_LNC079485)
Source: RNAcentral
CGAAUUCCUACAGUGAAUGGAUCACAAACGAACUUCUACAACGGACGGGCUCCAGCAGCCGGAUCUCUACUCCGAACCUCUUCCAGACUUCGUCAAGGAUCGAGCUUCUCCGGUAGCGGGACUUCUACAGUAAGCGGUCUACUCUGAACUUCUACGACAACCAGUCUCCAUCCGAGCUUCUACGGUAUGCGGCCUCCUUCCGGACUCCGUCUGAACUUCUACAGCGGUUGAAUUUCGGACGAACUUCUACAACGGACGUGCUCCAGCCGUCGGACUUCUACAGCGACCGACUGUCUCUGGUGCCUUCCGCACCUCUCCAGCCAUCAACCUUCAACAGCGCCAGCCGCCCUUCCACAGAUCCAUCCGAUCUCCUCCAGCGGAUGAACUUCCGCAAUGCCUUCCGAAUUCCACUAUCAGCCGACCUUCUGUCGGAUCCCUCGUGCGACCAGACCUCUCCGAUGGACAGCCC